This 253-nucleotide ribosomal RNA is filed under the name uncultured bacterium. RNAcentral's name for it is "partial 16S ribosomal RNA". It matches the Rfam family "Bacterial small subunit ribosomal RNA", at positions 524 to 776 of the family's 1533-position model. The record is from RNAcentral.
UACGUAGGGUGCGAGCGUUAAUCGGAAUUACUGGGCGUAAAGCGUGCGCAGGCGGCUUUGCAAGACAGAUGUGAAAUCCCCGGGCUCAACCUGGGAAUUGCGCUUGUGACUGCAAGGCUGGAGUGCGGCAGAGGGGGAUGGAAUUCCGCGUGUAGCAGUGAAAUGCGUAGAUAUGCGGAGGAACACCGAUGGCGAAGGCAAUCCCCUGGGCCUGUACUGACGCUCAUGCACGAAAGCGUGGGGAGCAAACAGG